Cricetulus griseus (Chinese hamster) is the source of this 8048-nucleotide non-coding RNA. NCBI's taxonomy places the organism in Eukaryota, Metazoa, Chordata, Mammalia, Rodentia, Cricetidae. The record is from RefSeq and is a predicted model, not a curated record.
GGUUAGCUCGUUAAAUUACAAUAAAGCCUCGUGCAGUUUGCAGCAAGCUCUCGAAUCCGCCUGGUGAUUGGGGUGACCGCGAACCUGGCCUGAGACCCCGGAUACUUUCGGGGGUCUAACACUUUCUGUUUUGAGAAAAAGCAGGUAGUAUUGCCUGGUCCUCAAAUUCAGUAUUUUGUCAAAACUAUCAGAACAAAUGUCAUCUUUUUGUAUAACAAAUAUUUCCAAAACAUUAUUUACCUUCUUGCUGUGAAGUUCAUAGACAAUAUAACCUAGCUGCACACAUAAGUAUAAAAAUAUAACAAUAUUACCAUAAAGGUCACUGUAAUGGCGAUUUUAAUAUGGCAAGGGAGUCGCCGGCUUGCUGUGUGAUGAACGGCGUAGUCAGAAAGUUAUGCUUUUCACAUAAGUCACUGUAGAUUAAGCCUGACCAGAUCUUCUGAAAUUGUAAUCCAGUUUCUGUGAAGUUCUGGCCAAAAAAAGAAGAAGAAGAAGAGGAGGAGGAGGAGGAGGAGGAGGAGGAAAGAAAGAAAGAAAGAAAGACACACACAAACAUACUGCCCUUUAUUUCUUCCACACUAGGAAACAUAUUUUCACUUUUAAAUAUUUGUUACCUAUGUUAUUCCCAUCAACUCUCACUAGAGGGAGCCACUUGUCCUUUAGAAAGUGAUAAUGGGCCUAUGCUAGAACUGGAUUCUUGUAAAUUGACCCACAAUUUUUAUUCCCACUAAACUAUGAUUGUUUAAAGAUGCAUUUUAGACAGGAUUAGUUUUAUUUUGAUUUUCCAGUAACCAUCAGACUGAAGUGUACCAUUUGGUUCUGCCUAGUCUGACAAGGUCCCCCCGGUCAUGGACUUGGUUCAAAUUCUAGCUCCAUCAUUCAUUGGCUAUUUGACCUGGACAAGUCACCUCACCUCUCUAGGCCACGUUUUCCUAAUAAAAAAGAAAUUAUGGGCUAGCAAGAUGGCUCAGCAGGGAAAGGUGCUUGCCACCUAGUCUAUGGAUGAGUUUAAUCCCCAAGACCAACAGGGAAGAAAGAAAAUGAUUCCUUCAAGUUGUCCUCUGACCAACACACACACACACACACACACACACACACACACACACACACACACACAAUCAACAAAUCAGUGAUAUUAAAGGAAUGUUUAUACUUAAAAAGGAAAUCAUCAUUCCUAUUUUAGAACCCUAAUAUGAAGAUGACACAAGAUGAAUAAAAUAAAAAAUGAUGUAUAAAGUAUUUAAAAUUAUAAGAUUUCAAUUAGCAAUAUUACUUUUAUCUUAUGCUGAAGCUUACACACAUUUUAAUGACAGUUUUAUAGACCGACUUAAUGAUGUCCUAUAGAGCGUUAAGGGCAUGAAGUUCAAAGACAAAGUCAUCCAUGCAGAUGAGAGUAUUCAGUGUAUGCUUCAUGGAGGAAAUGGACUUUGACUGGGUUCCCACUUUGGAUAAGGGCUGACCAGCUGGAGAGAGGUGGAUGCUGGGAACACAGGAGGCACGUUUGCACAUGACGCCAGCUGUUCAUUGUUGAUUCUACAUCCGUCUGAUAGAAUAGCCACCACCCCCGAGUGGCUUUUAUUUUUAUGUCAAUCAAAGAGAAAUAAAAACUUAGCUCAUCAGUCACUCUCACUUCCUUUAAGGGGCUGAAUGGCAACAUCUGAGUGGUGGCUGCUAAACUGAAGAGCACACAACAUUCCAUUGUGGGGCAGUUUGAUUGGACAGUUUUCUAGAUCCAGCAUCAUGUAGAAGGAAAGUAGGUUUGCUAGAAUUAAACAGUGAACAAAGAAACAGCAGGGAUACAACUUAUAAAUGCUUUAUAGAGACAGAACAAUGGGAUUCUUUAUUGAAAAGGACAAUAUUACUAGAAGUACUUACUGCCUCACAUAAUAUCAAAAAAAUGAUCCAACGUCUCAGAUGGAUAGCUGGUGUUGGCUGGGGAGGUGGGGAUAGGGACAGGAGAGAUCAGGUGUGAGGAAAGACAACUGGAGUUGGGAGACUAGCUAGAAACCUAAGGCAAUGGAAAUUCCCAGGAAUCUAUAAGUGUGACCCUAACUAAGACUCCUUGCUGGGCUUUGAGACCCUUUUCCUCAUCCUGGGUUGCCUUAGUAUGAGGGAAGAUGCCUAGUCUUACUGCAAUUUGAUAUCCCAUGUUUUCAUUGAUAUCCAUGGGAGGCCUGCCCUUUUCUGGACAGAAACAAGAGGAGUGCAUGGGGGAAGCAGAGGGGAGGCAGGGGAGACUGGUAGGAAAGGAGGGAAAGGAAACUGCAGGGAAUAUAAAAAUAAAAUAAAAACGAUGAUCCAAAUGUUAUGCACUGUCACUAAGAAACUCACAGAUGUAAAAUAUAUUACAAAAACUCCAGAAAGAAGAAUGAAGCUAAAUGCAGCAAUGCUGGACAUGUCACUUGCAAAAUUUGAAUAUUAAACUAUUUAUAAAAUUAAAAAAAUAAAUGGUUAUUCACGGAUACCCACUAUAUUUUUGUAAAGUAAUAAUGUAAAGUAAUUUAAAAAAACAUUUGCACAUUAUAUAAGUAUUUUAAAGUCACUAUGAAACAUAGAGAUUUAGAUGGCUUGAUACCUGAGUUUAAUAGGGAGGCCACUUCAUAAAUAUGGCUUUUGUAUUUGAAACAUUCCAAAUCCCAAGGCUCAGAAAUUUCAUACAAGGUAAAAUCUUUCUGAGUAUUUUCUCUAUAUGGGGCAUAAAUGAAUAGGCAAAACCCUUUAAAGAUUGUUCCAUGAAUUUGUGUUAGUUACCAUUCAUUAAAACUCUAGACCUCAUAUAUAAUCUUACAAAAAUACUAGCAACUUUCAAAAAUAUAAGUACAGUUCCAGAGUCAAAGAACCUUUUUAAAACAACCAGACCUUUAUAACUAAAACAAAAACAAAAAUAAAUAAAUAAAAACAAAGAGCCCUUCUGUUUUAAAGGAAAGUUCAUCAAGGUCAUUCAUUUUUCAAAUAAAAAUUAAUUCAAUAUGAAAAAGCUAAUAUUUUGAUAUCUAAUUUAAUACCUCAGUUGUCGUAACUCUUCAUGUGAAAACUCUGCCUUGUGAAAUCAUUGGCUCUAAGAUUACAUUGUAACUUCCUUUGGUUUGUAAGCAAACAUUCUAUGCAUGCCUAUUUCGAACACGAAGGCUGAUUUGGAAAGAGACCAUCAUUCAUUCCUCCAGUUAUCAGUAGAAAGCUUCAUAAUUAUUGAACUUUUGCCAAAUAAUAUGCACUAUGCUAAAUGUAUCCAUGGCUAGAAGUAAUUCACUUUGUUGUAAAGAUGAAUGUGCUUCUGUAUGUUAUGUUAACUAAUUCGUAGUGAAACAUAGGUUUACCUGACCUCAGAGCUCUUUCUGCUAUAUCAUAUUGCUUUUCUGAUUUCUUGAAAUAAUUAGGCAACAUAUAGGAACCUGGGAGUAACUGCUGCAGUUUUCUAAUGACAUUUUCCAGGAUCUGUAUCUUGAAUAAUAGCACCCUAAGGAUCCAUAAGCAAUGUUGUCUUCAUUGAUUGAAUGAAUGAUUUGUCGUUUUCCUAGUUAGGGUUUCUAUUGCUAAGAUGAAAUAUCAUAACCAAAGGAAAGUUGGGAAGGAAGGGUUUAUUUGGCUUAUGCUUCCACAUCCAUUGCAGUCUAUCGUGGAAGAAGUCAGUACAGGAACUCAAGUACUGCAGGAACCUGGAGGCAGGAGCUGAUGCAGAGGCCAUGGAGGGGUGCUGCUUACUGGCUUGCUCCUCAUGGCUUGCUCACCCUUCUUUCUUAUAGAACCCAGGAUCACCAGCCCAGGGUGGCUCCACCCACAAUGGACUGGAUCUUUUCUCAUCAAUCACUACAUAAGAAAAUGCUCUACAGGCUUGUCUACAGCCCUAUCUUAUGGAGGGUUUUUUUUUUCUUUUUUUCUAGAUUGAGGCACCCUCCCAUACCUAGAGUCAAGAAAGAGAUGCAGGACAGCCUCCAGAGGAACAAGACUUCCUAGAGGAUGAGUAAAGCCAUCAACCAUGUAGCAAAAUGUAGACUAAUAGAAAUGGGUUUAAGUUGUAAGAGCUAGUUAGUAAUAAGUCUGAGCUAUAGACAGAGAAUAUUGUAAUUAAUGUAAACUUCUGUGUGUUUAUUUGAGACCAGGCUGUCAGGACAAAAGAAAAGCUCUGCCUCCGAUUACAGUAACACCCAAGACUAGAGGCACAUGCCAUUUGUUCUUUCCAGACACGAUAAAUUCAAAACAUUUGUUAAUUCUUACUGCAUACAGGAUACUGAGUAUGUGUUCACUGGGGAUGUAUGGCACUGUGGAGAAGAUAGAGAAAUAAAUAAUUGAAACACCACAUGAUAAAUGCACCAAGAGAUAAAAGCAAAGGACUUUGGGUAGGCAGAGGAGGGAGUUUCUAUGAUUGUAAUUGAUAAUAGAACUGUCUUAGGAUUCAAGGGAAGAUAAAUUUGAGAUAAAUCCUAACUUAAAAAAAAUAAGAUUAUAACAGGAAAAGGAAGUCAAACAAAUUCUAGGCUGACAAAAUACCCUUAAUAUAAAAACCAAAUCACAAGCAGGAGUAGAGCCAGCCUGAAAGGUAAAGACAGGGUCAUUUCUUGGGUGCAAUGCUUUCAGCAAAAUGGGAUGUGACAGUUAAGAACCUUUUCUGUUAUGCUGUUAUAAUGUGUGUGUUAAAUGAUAGUGGGCUAAAUAUAAUGAUUAUAAAUGCCUUUAUCAGUCCUGUGGCUGUUAGAGUAUUGAGGUAGGUAGGAUUUAAAGUAAAGUUACAUGAAUUGAGUCAGGAAACAAAAUGAAUCAUCAUACGGAAGGUUGUAUAAUUAAAAGUGGAUAUAUCAGUUUCGGAAUGCUUCUAAAAAUCUAGGCAGCAUCAGUGGGGGGAUCUUUAGGAACACGAUGGGCAAUAACAAAAGGCUUAAGAAAAAUAUUAAAACAACUGAUAAAAUAUCAGUAACAGUUUGAACAGUGAUGUAAACAACUAAAAUUCAGUCAAAAUUUUAAUUUGUAGUAGUAGGACUCAUGUUAUGGAGCAUGGUACUUGCUUUAAUAAAUGAAUUAGACACUGCCUUGAUGGUAUAUUUGAUAUUAUUCCUUUUAAUCUAAGUAUAUUUUAAAAUAUGCAAACUAAUAAUUAUCUCAUAAUUAUUGAAAAUGCCUAUUUUAAGUAAAUUUAGCAUAUGGAAGUUUAUAUAAAAGGCCUAGUGUUAAAAUUAGCCAAAAAUGUUAACUAUUAGCCAAGUUAAAAAUAAUUUGUGAACUGUAUUUUUAUUGGUGCCAACAGAUUCCUUUUAAAAUAGAAAUGUCCCUAUGGUCAUAUGUUAGUGUAAAUAACUUGAAUAACCUACAAAGCAGGUUUUUUAUUGAACUCUGGGGUGUAGGCAUAUUAAUGAUAGCAUUAAAGAGGACCCAAAAGCCCUUCAUAUGGUUCUUGAAAAGAUUGAGGAGAUAGGGUAUCUUGGAAUGGUAGAUAUAUUUGUAAAUGGAUAUGAAAAAAUAAACUAUAUCAGAAUAGCUCUAAAAUCAGAAGCUGAUUGCAAAUCUCAACAUCUCAUUUUGGCUCCAUCCUCAAACAAAAAGACAACUUCUUGAAUAACAAAUCCUUCCCUCAUUCUCCUCUGAGGUAUCCUAAAACCAGGAGCAUUUUCAGCAACUCCUUGAUGAGUGUAAAUGUUGACAACUACAGCAUAAAAGAAGCCGCUCCCACCCUUAACAGGCCCACAGUGCAUGUAGAGAGUAAUCAGGAAACUCAUCACAUUCCAAGAAGGGUAGGCAAAAUAGAAUAGUGUUCCUCUCGCUCCUCCCAAAGGCAUAAAUGACCUAACCCUAAUAACCUGUGAAAAUGUUACCUUCACAGGGAACUAAAGUUGCAGAUGGAACUAAGGUCACUAAUCAGCUGACUUUGAAGUGGGGCUAUUCCGGUGGGCCCAAUGAUGUAUUGCAAAGAGCCUUUAAAGUAGAAGAGGCUGGCAGACAGGGUCAGAGUGUUGCAAUAGGUAAAGAAUCCAACCUUCCAUUGCUGCCUUUGAAGAGGGAGGAAGGCACCAUUAGUCAAGGAAUGCCAUCAGCUAGCAGGAGCUGGAGAGAUCAAGGGAAUGCCUUCACCCAGAGGCCCUGAAGAAAGGAAACCCUGAUGAUGAAUGUCUCCAGUUCAGUCCAGGGAAACCCUUCUGGACUUCUGAUCUCACAGCUGUAUGAUGAUGAAUUUGUGUUGUUCUAAGUUACUAAAUUUGUUUUAACUUGUUAUAGCAAUUGCCAAUAACAAAAUAUAAAAAACAUUUAAUAAGUAUUACAUUUAUAAUAUUCAUACAAUACUUUUAUCUCAUGCUAUUUCAGUUCUCCAAUGAAACAUUGGAUCUUUUUGUAUUUUUCCAAAUGAUCCAGAGAAAAUUGAGAGCCCUUUCCUCCUCUACCCAUUCAUUGAACACCAAAUUGAAAAGAAAAAAGAAACACUGUCAAGAUAUAUUCUCUUUUUUAAGCCUUAGGUAUUGCUUACACAUCUGUUGUGAUAUUUCUUUUAUUUGAUUUUGUUUCGAGUUCUUCAUUAUCUGAUUUAUUUAUCCUUCCUAGUUUGGAAACAAACUGAACAUGAGAAUGAUUCUCCCGAGGUUUACUCUUCCCAGGAUAGCAUCAGUCUGCACGAGGCAGGCAGCACAUGCCAAGUAAUAAGUAUAGCGGGGAAGGGGAAGCUUAGAAAGUGAAUGAGCAUGCCCACCAUCAUGCCAGGGACAAAAUUUCAUUUGCAAGAGAGACAGAGAAGUUAGGCCUCACUAAUAUAGUUGUGUGCCGUUUAUGCUCCCCAGGAAAAGAGAGGUCUCACUCCUGAGGAGCAGUGUGAAGUUUCUCCCUCUUCUGGUUUUGACAAAAAUUGAACCAAUUCACUGUACUUAUAUCUUUAGAAACCGUGAGCAUAAAGUGCCCAAAGCUUUUCUCUGUUACUGAAUCUCGGAUCCAAAGCAGCCAUCACAAGUGUUCAGACCAAGAAGUCAAGUGGAGAAUUGUUUAGCCUUUCACCAGCUUACUGAACAAUCAGGAGAGAGGACCUGCACCUCGCCUGGGCAAAAGAGUAGAGCUGGCCCUGGAGAUACAAGUGAGGGGGGACCCGAUCUGAGGAACCAAGAGAAGGAGAACUGCCCUUACUCCUUGCUGUAGGCUACAUUGGGUGAGCUAGCCAAGACAGUGCUGGAGAGCUGGGUAGUGAUGAUGAGGGAAAGCAAUGUGCUGCCCAACCCUCCUACCACCCAGGCCCAGAACUAGGACUAUGAGUGAGCCCAGCCCAAUACCUACCUCAUCUAUGAACUGUUGGAGCAUGUAAAGGGGACUAUGGAUCUAAAACAGCAGAAUCUCCGUGAUACUGGACAACAGCAGGAUAUGCAAGGUGAGCAGGUCAUGAAAUCCCAGAAAUGAACAGGAAGGAGACACUGGCCUGCAGCACUGCCACUUCGGAGGGAAGCCAAGGGACAGGAAAUGUCAAGCCUCUGAGAUUUGAUCUGCUACUGCUCAUCCUUGCUUGGUUCAACUGCUACUGACCAAUGGAACAAUGGCUAAUCUACACCAAGCAUGCAUAUGCAGUGUCCCACCGGUCUCCCUGGUCUUCAGUUCAGCAAUUCCUGCUGAUCUACACCUGAGUUCCUCAGUUAUUCCUUGUCAUCUUGAAUUUGUGAUUGAACCCUUCUGUAUCUUUCAGCUGUGUUCUCUGCUCGACACCUCAGAGAUUAUCACUUCCGUCAAUGAUGCUGAAGGGAAGGAAGUCACUGUCUCACAUGCCUAAGGAAGAGAGGCUGCCAGUCUCAGCUUGUUCCACUUCUGCAAAACCUGUCCUUACUAAGAUAGCAGGAGGAAUGUGUGAGAGUAGCUUUGGGCCAGAAUGUCAUAGAUUCUUACUUUUAAUAAGUUCACUCAGCAGCUUUUCCAACCUAAAUACUUCUCAGAUUGCUGCAUGUUAUUUCUUUUCAGAGUGCUAAAAUUAUUCUUGUCUAUUUUAGUAGCUUUAAAUGUGCUAUUGAAAGACAAUUCCUCAUCUUCAUCACUUGGCCAUAACCAAAAGCUCUAUGCUUACCUAUUAUUUCAUAAAGAAUGAAUUUUACACUAAA